CAGUGGAGUAUGUGGUUUAAUUCGAAGCAACGCGAAGAACCUUACCAGGUCUUGACAUCCUCUGACAAUCUGAGAGAUCAGACUUUCCCUUCGGGGACAGAGAGACAGGUGGUGCAUGGUUGUCGUCAGCUCGUGUCGUGAGAUGUUGGGUUAAGUCCCGCAACGAGCGCAACCCCUGUGGUUAGUUGCCAUCAUUUAGUUGGGCACUCUAAGCAGACUGCCGUGGAUAACACGGAGGAAGGUGGGGACGACGUCAAAUCAUCAUGCCCCUUAUGACCUGGGCUACACACGUGCUACAAUGGUCUGAACAGAGGGCUGCGAAACCGCGAGGUGAAGCUAAUCCCUUAAAACAGAUCUCAGUUCGGAUUGCAGGCUGCAACUCGCCUGCAUGAAGUUGGAGUUGCUAGUAAUCGCAGAUCAGAAUGCUGCGGUGAAUGCGUUCCCGGGUCUU
This 451-nucleotide ribosomal RNA is filed under the name uncultured Acetobacterium sp. RNAcentral's name for it is "bacterial SSU rRNA". It matches the Rfam family "Bacterial small subunit ribosomal RNA", at positions 930 to 1382 of the family's 1533-position model. The record is from RNAcentral. Lineage: Bacteria; Bacillati; Bacillota; Clostridia; Eubacteriales; Eubacteriaceae.